AAAAGUAACAUACCUAAUUUACAUAUAUAAAUAAAUAUUUUACAAUGUUCCUUAUUUCUAACAACUUAAACUUUUAGAUGAGGUAGGUGAGACGCUUCAAUAUGGUAUCAGAGCCUCAAGAUUCUUGGUAGAACAGUAAUUUUCAUGAAACAGCCGACAACCUUACGCUGCCUGCCCAGACAUAAAAUGCAGCCUGCAGUUACAGUUUUUUGUCUUCUUUCAUAUAUUUGAGAUCAUAAUUGCAUUUAAUUUUUAAAUUAGUUUGGUGUACUGUUAUGAUAUU
RNAcentral lists this long non-coding RNA (283 nucleotides) under Nicotiana benthamiana. RNAcentral's name for it is "long non-coding RNA (NBEN_LNC001859)". Lineage: Eukaryota; Viridiplantae; Streptophyta; Magnoliopsida; Solanales; Solanaceae. The record is from RNAcentral.